UAUGAGCAUGGAAGAAGACGAAGACGUGGAAGAGGAAAGAAGACUUUGUUAUGUUGCCAUAACAAGAGCCGAGGAAGAAUUAUAUAUAUCUUCAGCAAA
Molecule: small RNA, 99 nt
Filed under: Peptoniphilus sp. BV3C26
Lineage: Bacteria; Bacillati; Bacillota; Tissierellia; Tissierellales; Peptoniphilaceae
Description: Clostridiales bacterium BV3C26 Clostridioides difficile sRNA included into helicase gene
Rfam family: Clostridioides difficile sRNA included into helicase gene
About the family: This element was identified by RNA deep sequencing of Clostridioides difficile 630 where it is located within gene CD0749 (putative DNA helicase, UvrD/REP type) in the same direction as the gene.
Source: Rfam by way of RNAcentral